UGAGUUAGGGAAGUUGUUCUCUGGGCAUGGUGGUGCGCACCUGUUUGAUCCCAGCACCCAGAAGGCAGAAGCAGGCAGGUCUCUGCGUUCCAGGCUAUCCAUGCUACUUAGUGAAACCCCGUCUUAACAGGGGAGGGAGAAGGGGCAGUGAGACUGCCCAGGGGUUAGGAGCCCUGUUGGUCCUGCAGAGGACUCAGUUCCCGACAUAUACAUGGUGGCUAGCGACCAUCUGUAACCCCAGUUCUAGGGCAUCCAACUCUCUCUUCCAGCCUCCUUGGGCACUGCACACACAUGCACAUAUAGUCAUGCAGAUAAAACAUUCAUCUACAAUAAAUAAAUCUAAAACAACAACACACUGGUGCACAUACACAGUGGAUAAAUUCAAUAAAAAUGUUGAGAAUGCUUUGUGUCACACACAGUGGUGCAUGUCUAUAGUCACUCAGAAGGUAGAAAGGGUUAUAAAUUUGAAGCCAGCCUGGGCUACAUAGAAAGACCUGUCUGAAAAGAAAAGAAAAGAAAAGAAAAGAAAAGAAAAGGGGAGGAAAGGAAAGAAAAGAAAAGAAA
RNAcentral lists this long non-coding RNA (564 nucleotides) under Rattus norvegicus (Norway rat). RNAcentral's name for it is "long non-coding RNA NONRATT004733". The record is from RNAcentral. Lineage: Eukaryota; Metazoa; Chordata; Mammalia; Rodentia; Muridae.